CGGACGGGUGAGUAAUGUCUGGAAAACUGCCUGAUGGAGGGGGAUAACUACUGGAAACGGUAGCUAAUACCGCAUAACGUCGCAAGACCAAAGAGGGGGACCUUCGGGCCUCUUGCCAUCGGAUGUGCCCAGAUGGGAUUAGCUAGUAGGUGGGGUAACGGCUCACCUAGGCGACGAUCCCUAGCUGGUCUGAGAGGAUGACCAGCCACACUGGAACUGAGACACGGUCCAG
RNAcentral lists this ribosomal RNA (232 nucleotides) under uncultured bacterium. RNAcentral's name for it is "partial 16S ribosomal RNA". It matches the Rfam family "Bacterial small subunit ribosomal RNA", at positions 99 to 334 of the family's 1533-position model. The record is from RNAcentral.